Felis catus (domestic cat) is the source of this 1967-nucleotide long non-coding RNA. RefSeq lists it as uncharacterized. The transcript has 4 exons. Lineage: Eukaryota; Metazoa; Chordata; Mammalia; Carnivora; Felidae. The record is from RefSeq and is a predicted model, not a curated record.
CAUCCAGGGGUCAGCUCAGAGCAAGCUCUCCAUAAAUGGUCACCAUGAGAACAAUUAUUCUUGGAGCUUCUCUGGGGCCCACACCCUCAAUCCCCGUGUGGAUGGUGGGUGUGUAAAAGGCCUCUGCCGGCCGAAAGGAGGCUGCCGCCUGUCCCCCCUCUCUGCCACCCUGGGCCCGAACCAGUCCCCACCCAGCAGCUUAGAGGUGCUUUAAUGGGCAAAAUGGAGGCAACUUCUUGCCCGGGAAACCCCGCCCCGGCAAGUUUGCAGCUGCCCUUUGCUCUACGCAGCCGUUUCGGCAGGGGCAGUUCCCCGGAUGACCGACAGAUGGCGCUAAACCUUCACUAUAGCCUUCCUGUUUUCCUGAGACUCUUCAGGGCCCUGACUGAUACAGGAGGAGUGCCUGCCAUGAGCUGUACCUGCCUAGGAUCCAGAGGAGAUCGGAAGGAGUGAGGACACCUAUAGGAUGCUGGUUCAACCUACGAUGGUCUCCAUGGAGGUGAACAUGAACUUAGCGUUAACAAGGCGUAUGUAGCUGACCUUCUCUCCCAGCUAGAAUUUUCCCAAGAUUUUAAGUCACAAUUCCAGACUUCUCUACAAACAAAGCUGUCACUGACACCCCCAGGAAAUGGUGCCAACCACAUUCCCAUUUAAUGAGCAGCUACUACAUUCCAGACACUGUCCUAGGUGUUUGUAAUGGGUUUUAGUAGCCUUUUGUAAUGUGUCCUGGCCAUGGUGGUGAGUACAGGACUAAGGUGUAGCCAAUCAUAGUACCUCAUUCCCUUCUUCCAAAGCGAUUGGCCUGCAGAGUGAGCAUGUGACUAAGCAGGACCAAUCAAAGGCUUUCCCUGGGACUGAUACACUGUUACUAGGUGAAGGAAGCUCUCUCUCUCUGCUGAGGGUGGUUCUGUCCAUGCCAUUUGGAAGAGGCUCAUCUGUGGGAGGAGAGACCGAGGGUUCCGUUUUAAGAGAAGAAGAGACAAGCAGAGAACAGAGGGAACGAGGGACACGAUACAUUCCCUUUUGUCUGUCUGGAGUUGGGUUUCUGUCACUUGCAACCAAAAGAAUCCUGACCGGGGCACCUGGGUGGCUCAGUUGGUUAAGCAUCCAACUCGGCUCAGGUCCUGAUCUCACGAUUCAUGAAUUCCAGCCCCACAGUGGGCUCUCUAUUGUCAGCACAGAGAUCUUCUUCACAUCAUCUGCCUCCCCCGCCUCCCUACCGCUCUCCCUCUCCCUCUCUCUCUCUCUCUCUCUCUCAAAAAUAAAUAAACUUAAAAAAAAAAGAAUCCUGACUGAUACAGCCCUUUAUAUACCUUGUCUCUCUCAACAACCCUAUGAAAAUGAUAUUAACAACCCUCAUUUUGUAGAUGAAAUUGAGGCUCAGAGAGGUGAGAAGACUUGCCCAAAGCCACACAGACAGUAGGAGGCAGUUUUGAUGACUCCCAACCUGUUCUGUUUCCACUGUGCUACUCUGCCCGUCCUGACGAAUCAGCUUUCCAAGUUGGAGCUGACCUUAUAUUUUCUAUUGUGAGUGCAAGCAUAAGUAUCUUCUACUAAGAAAUCCAUCAUUUCAGGGUUAGAAGCAACUUCAGAAGUCAGCUGGGGCUCUCUGGAAAGAGCAGCGGACUGGGAGUGAGAAGGCUUCCAGGGCAAGUUCUGUUUCUUACUAGUUGGAAAAGUCACUUAACUUCUGUGAAUCUGAAUUUCCUCAUCUGUGAGAAGGAGACUAUAUUCAGGAUGCUAGUCAAGAUACACGGGUGUUAUGACAAUUAAGAGACAAAGAAUAUGAAACUGUUUUAGAAAUGUGAAGUCCUAUACAAAGUAAGAUACCAAUGCUGUGGUUUACCCCUGUGAGACUGAGUCCUAUCUCAUUCUGUGCUUCAAUAUCCCCCUACACAGAGUGCUCACUGCCUCUUAAGGCAGCUCUUUCUGUCUUUGUUUCCAUUCUUAUUGUUAUAAAAAAAAUU